AACCAUAGAAACCUGCGGAGUACCUGCGGAAGGAUCAUUACAGAGUUGCAAAACUCCCUAAACCAUUGUGAACGUUACCUAAACCGUUGCCUCGGCGGGCGGCCCGGGUCCUUCCCGGCGCCCAUCGGCCCUCGCGGGCGCCCGCCGGAGGUAAACCAAACUAUUGCAUUGUAUGGCCUCUCUGAGUCUUCUGUACUGAAUAAGUCAAAACUUUUAACAACGGAUCUCAGAUCGGAAGAG
RNAcentral lists this unclassified non-coding RNA (240 nucleotides) under soil metagenome. Its description in RNAcentral is "partial contains 5.8S ribosomal RNA, internal transcribed spacer 2, and large subunit ribosomal RNA". The record is from RNAcentral.